RNAcentral lists this ribosomal RNA (343 nucleotides) under uncultured bacterium. RNAcentral describes it as "bacterial SSU rRNA". It matches the Rfam family "Bacterial small subunit ribosomal RNA", at positions 29 to 399 of the family's 1533-position model. The record is from RNAcentral.
AACGAACGCUGGCGGCAGGCUUAACACAUGCAAGUCGAACGGAUGUAGCAAUACAUUAGUGGCGCACGGGUGAGUAAUACUUGGGAACGUGCCUUUCAGUCGGGAAUAACAGCGGGAAACUGCUGCUAAAACCCGAUACUCCCUCCGGGGGAAAGUUUACGCUGAAAGAUCGGCCCAAGCCAGAUUAGGUAGUUGGUGAGGUAAUGGCUCACCAAGCCUACGAUCUGUAGCUGGUCUGAGAGGACGACCAGCCACACUGGAACUGAGACACGGUCCAGACUCCUACGGGAGGCAGCAGUGGGGAAUAUUGGACAAUGGGGGAAACCCUGAUCCAGCCAUGCCG